RNAcentral lists this unclassified non-coding RNA (442 nucleotides) under uncultured bacterium. RNAcentral describes it as "partial contains 16S ribosomal RNA, 16S-23S ribosomal RNA intergenic spacer, and 23S ribosomal RNA". The stretch from base 311 to 442 matches the Rfam family "Bacterial large subunit ribosomal RNA", at positions 1 to 131 of the family's 2925-position model. The record is from RNAcentral.
UGCGGCUGGAUCCCCUCCUUUCUAAGGAGCUUCGCUCGGACCCGAUCACCAAUCCGGUGAACGGGAGCACCCGAGCCAGCACCAGUUGGCGCACUGGCGAGCUUGUCGUUCGAGAUCGAGUGGUUGAAGCUUCGGCUCCCACCUCGAGCUCGACCGCCGAGUCCUGAGUCCUCUCUUCCGUUUUGAGGGAGCCACCCCCGUCACCGUUUGAGCCCACAUCGGCUCCGGUGCUCCGGGUGUGUGGUGCACCUCGUUGCCCCUUGAGAACUGCAGAGCGAGCACGAGCAUCUUCAAAUAUUCAGUUCGAAAUGAUCAAGCUACAAAGAGCCAACGGUGGAUGCCUUGGCGCCUGGAACCGAUGAAGGACGUGGGUGACUGCGAAAAGCCACGGGGAGCUGUCGACCGAGCGUCGAUCCGUGGAUGUCCGAAUGGGGAAACCCGG